RNAcentral lists this ribosomal RNA (253 nucleotides) under uncultured bacterium. RNAcentral describes it as "partial 16S ribosomal RNA". It matches the Rfam family "Bacterial small subunit ribosomal RNA", at positions 524 to 776 of the family's 1533-position model. The record is from RNAcentral.
GACAGAGGUCCCGAGCGUUAGGCGGAAUCACUGGGCUUAAAGCGUGUGUAGGCGGCGGCCUAAGUACCUUGUGAAAUCCCACGGCUCACCCGUGGAACUGCUCGGUAUACUGGGUCGCUUGAGCCACUUAGGGGCUACCGGAACAAAUGGUGGAGCGGUGAAAUGCGUAGAUAUCAUUUGGAACGCCAAUGGUGAAAACAGGUAGCUGGGAGUGUGCUGACGCUGAGACACGAAAUCCAGGGGAGCAAACGGG